CUUACAUGGCAUAUGGGAAAUAACUCAUUUGAAGUCAGGUUGUUCUGAUGUCUGCUAACCGGAUCCUGGCAAAGCAGCUACAGUCACUGUGCAGACAACUUGCUGAACAUUGUCUUCCAGAAUGUUCACCUGAUAAUCUGAUUGAGUAGUAUGGUAGGAAAACUUGACAAAGAAGAAUUCCAUGUUACCAUGGAAAUUGCAACUUGGCAC
This 210-nucleotide long non-coding RNA is filed under the name Chrysolophus pictus (golden pheasant). Its description in RNAcentral is "lncRNA (ENSCPIG00010013058.1)". Lineage: Eukaryota; Metazoa; Chordata; Aves; Galliformes; Phasianidae. The record is from RNAcentral.